GACGAACGCUGGCGGCGUGCUUAACACAUGCAAGUCGAACGGUAAGGCCCUUCGGGGUACACGAGUGGCGAACGGGUGAGUAACACGUGGGUGAUCUGCCCUGCACUUCGGGAUAAGCCUGGGAAACUGGGUCUAAUACCGGAUAGGACCACUGCCUGCAUGGGUGGUGGUGGAAAGCUUUUGCGGUGUGGGAUGGGCCCGCGGCCUAUCAGCUUGUUGGUGGGGUGAUGGCCUACCAAGGCGACGACGGGUAGCCGGCCUGAGAGGGUGACCGGCCACCCUGGGACUGAGAUACGGCCCAGACUCCUACGGGAGGCAGCAGUGGGGAAUAUUGCACAACGGGCGCAAGCCUGAUGCAGCGACGCCGCGUGAGGGAUGACGGCCUUCGGGUUGUAAACCUCUUUCAGCACCGACGAAGCGCAAGUGACGGUAGGUGCAGAAGAAGGACCGGCCAACUACGUGCCAGCCGCCGCAGUAA
RNAcentral lists this ribosomal RNA (478 nucleotides) under uncultured bacterium. Its description in RNAcentral is "partial 16S ribosomal RNA". It matches the Rfam family "Bacterial small subunit ribosomal RNA", at positions 28 to 523 of the family's 1533-position model. The record is from RNAcentral.